Rhincodon typus (whale shark) is the source of this 120-nucleotide long non-coding RNA. RefSeq lists it as uncharacterized. The transcript has 3 exons. NCBI's taxonomy places the organism in Eukaryota, Metazoa, Chordata, Chondrichthyes, Orectolobiformes, Rhincodontidae. The record is from RefSeq and is a predicted model, not a curated record.
CUAAGUUUCAGUGCACAAAAUUCUUUAUCGCUGAGACCCCUUGUUGGCAUACCAGUGAGGAUUUAUGGCUACAUUGUGCUGGUGAAGCAACUUUCAUGGUACGAAUGGAACAUGAAGCAG